GGGCGAUUAGCUCAGUUGGUCAGAGCACCUGCCUUACAAGCAGGGGGUCGCUGGUUCGAGCCCGGCAUCGCCCACCA
This 77-nucleotide transfer RNA is filed under the name Gemmatimonadaceae bacterium. RNAcentral describes it as "tRNA-Val". It matches the Rfam family "tRNA". From Rfam's summary of the family: Transfer RNA (tRNA) molecules are approximately 80 nucleotides in length. The record is from RNAcentral. RNAcentral also lists the same sequence under 2 other names. Lineage: Bacteria; Pseudomonadati; Gemmatimonadota; Gemmatimonadia; Gemmatimonadales; Gemmatimonadaceae.